GACGUAGGGCGCGAGCGUUGUCCGGAAUUAUUGGGCGUAAAGAGCUCGUAGGCGGUUUGUCGCGUCUGCUGUGAAAACCUAAGGCUCAACCUUGGGCUUGCAGUGGGUACGGGCAGACUAGAGUGCGGUAGGGGUGACUGGAAUUCCUGGUGUAGCGGUGGAAUGCGCAGAUAUCAGGAGGAACACCGAUGGCGAAGGCAGGUCACUGGGCCGCAACUGACGCUGAGGAGCGAAAGCAUGGGGAGCGAAC
RNAcentral lists this ribosomal RNA (250 nucleotides) under uncultured bacterium. RNAcentral's name for it is "partial 16S ribosomal RNA". It matches the Rfam family "Bacterial small subunit ribosomal RNA", at positions 524 to 773 of the family's 1533-position model. The record is from RNAcentral.